CACAUUUCCAAAACCUUACUGCAAAUGCAAGAAUUCCAAAUUCAUGCCAUUUACUGAAAUCUGUUAGAUUCUAAACUUAUAUGCAUUGAUCCUCUUGUAAUGAUUAUGCACAAAGUCACAAAGACUUGACAACAACCAUUACAGAGCAUUCCGAAAGAGAUCAGCUCCUUGGAAACAUCCUUCUUGCAUUAAGUUUCCAAAUAUUACAUAGAUUGAAUAAUUUCUAACUUUGAAACAUUUCCAGAUUCCAUUUUGACUAUCACUUCUGAACAAGAGUUGCCUCCUUAUAGAUGAUGUCAAUAUGGUCCUUCUAGAAUUAUCACUAUACUUCCAACUGUCCUUGAGCAACAAAUCUUUGGUAAACCUUAGAUUGUCCUCGACAAUUGUUUAAUCCUUUUAGUCAUAUCAAAUUCGAGACCUUUUCCCUUCUUAAUGCCCCAAGGAUUUGGAAAAUUUUAGAAAGGAUGAAUAUAGCACAUGUAAUCGAUCCUAUAUCUGAAGCAUAUGGGACACGAUUCAUGAUGUCUCAGAUAAAGCCUAAACUAGUCUUUUGCUAUAAUAUUUCCAUUUCAAUUUGCCAAGUUCUCAUAAUUCAGAUUAGAAAAAGGGAUGUCGUAAUCAUAAUUGAAUUUUAAAAACGCAAAUAAUGGAUCCAUAUAUAGAAUUUUUCUUAUGUUGAGCCAUUCCAACAUGAAAUUCCUAUAUAUGUCCUUGACUAAAUAUGAUUAAAACCUCAACCUAAGCUUUUAGAUUUCAAAUGAAGUAUAAUUUCCUCUCCCUUAGUUAUAGGAAAACAACUUUUUCCCAAUUGAAACUUUUGUUUUCUAUAAUUAACAUUGCUAACUUGCAAUACUUAUCAUAAUUAUCAUGCUCCCACUAACAUGAUGAUUAUUAGCAUAACACUUAUGCUCCCACUAGCUUUGACAUGUACUCAGAAAUCAGCUGGACUUCUAGGAAUCAAUACUUUAUUGACUUUCUUACCAAAGUUCAGAUUUCUGAUACUAGAUUGCUUUGAUAAAAUUUUAUCGUUAUAAAGUUCCCUAGGAACUAGGCUGGACAUGAGUAUAGCCUACCAUCCACAUACCGACGAGCAAAGUGAGAGAAUUAUCCAAACCUUGGAAGAUAUGUUGCGAGCAUGUGUGGUCAACUUUGGGAAAGCAUGGGAUACUCAUUUACCCCUUGUCGAAUUUUCCUACAACAACAAUUAUCACAUGAGCAUAAAGGCUGCUCCAUUCGAGGCCCUCUAUGGUCGAAAGUGCAGAUCCCUUCUAUGUUGGGCUGAGGUGGGUGAUACCCAGAGUUAGCUAAAGGAUGAGUUCCUAACAGCACUCUCACAGGUCCGGAGAUCAUAUGGGAAACGACGGAGAAAGUCGUUCAGAUGCGUGAGCGAUUGAAACCCUCUAGAGACCGACAUAAAAGCUACACUGAUAAACGUACGAAACCGUUGCAAUUCUAGGUGGUGACCGUCUUCUAUUGAAGGUCUCACCCUGGAAGGUCUGUCCGACGAGACUCUUGUAAUCCCCCUCGACGAGAUCGAGAUCAACGAGAGCCUCAACUUCGUGUAAGAACCAGUGGAGAUCAUGGACCAGGUUCCCUAGAAAGCAAACGAAACAAAGCCGUAUCCCGAUAGUGAAGGUUUGCUGGAACGCCAAGCGAGGACCUGAAUUCACUUGGGAGUGUGAGAAUCAGAUGAAACUGAAAUAUACUCGUCUUUUUACUUAGUUAUUUGUAACUACUUAUUUGCUUAAACUCUAAUUUCGGGACGAAAUUCCUUCUAAGGAGGGGAUGAUGUGACAACCUGAAAUUUCUAUUCUUUACGACAUUUCCAUUCAAUAGAAGUCAGAACAGUACUAUUAAUUUUCAGACUUUUUAGAAGAAGUUUGAGUAUUUUAGGAUUAACAAUUUACGAGAGAUCAGGAGAGAGGAUGCCCUAGACUUUAUUGUGCAACAAUAAAGUCCCGACACAUCAAAAUAUAGGAGUUUACGGCCUAAACAAUGGUGUUUACGGCCGUAAACUCCAAGGAAUGGGGUAUAUAAGUGACACUUAGUCAUUUAUAUCAUUUUCCACCUUUUCAAGAACAAACCUCAAACUCUCUCAAGUAUCAUCAAAGUUUUCNAUCAAAGUUUCUUCAAGAUCUUCAAUCUAGUAAGUGUUUCUAGCCCUUUCUAGUUAGUAUAUCACCUAAUCUAGUGUUUUAACACACGUCCAUCCGUGAAAAUGUUCCAAAAGGUUGUUCUUCAAGUUUCACCAAGAACACACACUAGUGUUCUUGGACUUUUGGCUCAUUUCAAGCUUCUAUAUUGUAAGUACUUCUGUCCUAGAGUAUCAUAGAGCUUAUUAUACUUCCAUAUAUCAAGAAAACACAAAGAAACACUAAGAUCAAAGUUGUUUACGGUCCAUGAACUCCGUGAACCGUAAACCCUUCUUAAGGGGAAAAAGUGACCCUAGUCCCUUCCUUCCCUUGGGAAACUAGUCUAGACACAUUCCUUAAUGUGUAUAGGACUUGAAAACAUCAAAAUACCAUGAUCCAUGAGGGUUUACGACCGUAAACCCUAAGGAAAAUGGUCUUAGGGUCGUAAACUCCUCAAAGGAGGGAAAUGGUGCCCUAACUUCUUCCUUAGGCUUAUACAUCAAGUAGAAAUGCUUCUAGGCAAUUAUAAACCUUCAAAUCAAGAAAUGGACAAAGGAGUAUGAGCUUACGAACGUAAACUCAUGGGUUUACGACCGUAAACUCAAUGAGUUGAGGUCACAAUACCGUAAACACAAGAAAGGGGUUCUUUUGAACCCUAAACCCAAUAGCUUUGUCCUACAACACUUAGAUGCAAUCCUGGGACUUAUAACACUUAUAUAAAGUGUUUAACUUGUCUUAGGAUGUUAUAACUUUGUAAAUUAGUUGUUUAAAGACUAAUUGGAUACAUAUAUGUGCGUUUAUAUGUUAACUAGGAUCAUUGUGUGUGUAUAAGUCUUCACUUGACACCUAACAAUCCUAUAUCUUCAGUUCAUCCAAAUCGCUCACUACAGGUGAGUUCAUACCCCUUAAAUUGACCUUUUAAUGUUUUUAAAUUCUUUUAUGGGGGGAUACAAGUUGAAUACUUAUAGUUAUUAUAUCAAUCACAUGUGAUUAAUAGCUACCAAACAAGUGGUUUUCUUACUUUUCAAACUGUGUUAUCAAACUGUUUUGCUUCAAACUAUUUUACAAACUCCUCUGUUGUCAAAUAAUUUAACUUCAACUCUUUUCAUACUUUUAUAUUUUCAAACACAUGCCUUUGUAUGUAUAGUUAUAUAAGUAAUUUUUAAAGGAUUUAGGAUGGCUAGCUCGCAUUAUCUCCUUUUCCUUGUUAAGAUGUGGCGUUAGGGCAUCGGGUAUCCGUCCGAAGGUCGUCUAAAUAUUAGUUAUAUAUUAUGUAUACAUAUAUAGACAUAAAAGUUCCACCAUCCAAUUCAAUACUCUUGAGUAGCAAGGGUAUACAUUGAUGAUCAUUAUGUACAAGUCAUAUUACUAGUAAACUACGAUAGGCAUAGUUUAGGAAGAUACUAAUGCUAUUACAAGAACGAAGAAUCAUACAAUUAGUCGGUUCAUUCAUGAGUUAAUACUUGCUAGAUAGAGAGAGAGCACAAUACAGCUAGUACACACAGUAAAUUACUAUACAUGCUAGAUAGAGAAAUAACACACAUUACAGCUAGUACACGCAGAACUUGACAAUACAUACAGGCUAGACAGAGAAAGAACACACAAUACAGCUAGGACAUACAUUACAUAUACAUUCAUGCAGUUAUUGUUGGUUUUUGAGCACUCUAACACUCCUAAGUGUACAUGCAACCCUAAAUACCUUGGAUCUAUGUUUUCUCUAUUAUACAUGCAAAUAUGAACUUUCGAAGGUAUUCAUCCUAACUAGCAUAAUAAUAUGAUUCAUAUGAAUAUAUAUCAAUUUACAAUUACAUACCUCUUUAAUGUAGAAAGUAUUCAUGAAGCUUGACUUCCUAGUACCCCAAGUGUGACACCUCAAAUGGUUCACACAACACCAGAUACACUUGGAAUAACUUGAGAGAAACUUGUACACUCCUUGAAAUCGUCUAGCCCUCACACUCACACAUAGUGCACGAGUUAUUGAACCAUGGUAUUCUUUUAUAUGGUGGUUGUUAGGGUUACACCAUGUAACUCAUGACUUUACCUAUUCCUUAUGCUCCAUGGAUUUUAACCUCCAUGGAGUAUCCAUGGGUCACCCCAUGCACUUAGUCCAACACAAGGAAUCUUGGAUCACAAGCCCACAUAUAUAAUAAUGAAUGAUUUACACAAUCAACCCAUAUAUUUAAUUACUCUCCUUUUGAUCACUUAAUUAAUUCCAAAUUAAUUCUUGAUCAAUACCAAUUAAAUAACCUUAUUAAUAUAUUAGAACUUAUAAUAUAUUAACAAACCUUAAGUGUUAUUUCUCUCAUUUUAGUCUAUCCAAAUGCAUGAUGCCAUGCAACCCAAAUGGACCAUGUCGGGUCGGGUCAAGUCUUACCAAUUAUAGUUAUGGACAUAGACAUUAAUCCAACAGUCUCCCACUUGGAUAAGUCUAAAACUAUUACUGCGUAUGACUUCAAGAACCGACUGGCAAUCGUAGCUCUCAAAAGCUUCUGUCGAACUCUGACCUUGUAGAUGAACUCUGACCUUUGUCAAUGACUUGUCCAUUAGAUAAGGGAUCAUAUAUUCCUCCAUUCUAGAUAUCAUAUGGACUGAGACAUGGAUUAUAAUCAUUCUCUCUGUCCAUUUGUUGUUUCCCGAUUUCCGAUUUAUGACGACUGACUAAUUGAACAAAUCAAAUCAGUCCUGGCCCGGCCGAGCACUUCCAUUUGUCAUCAUCAAAUCAUCGAGGGGCCCACAGAUAUCGCUUUUAUCCCGAAGGUAAAAGGAACGGAUAAACUUCGACUCAUAUGGCUUGUUCUACUACUUGUUGAAUCAUACACAAAGGCACGUUUUAUAGCACCGAGUUACCAAAUGCGUUUUCGUGCAAUCAAUGUACAACCAACUCAUAGUAACAACUCAUAUCUCUAGGUUUGAAGAAUAUAAGAUAUUAUCGUCUCAUGAUCACUCGUGAUAAAAUCCAUGAAGUGAUUCCAAUGAGCGCGGGUUGAAUCCAAUACUCAGAACUUAUGAGCACUCAUGAGUGUUGUAGCCCUUUGUCCAACACCUUAGACCUCUACAAGCCAACCCAUGACAGUCUUAAUUCAUAUCUACUUCCAACAUAUGACCGACUGUGGAUGGUUUGAAUAACUUAGUCAUCCAGAACAAUGACCUAGUUAUGAAGGAAGUCAAAACACGCAAAGUGACACAAAAUAAUAAUUGAAUCCAAUAAGGUAUCAAAACCUAUGAACAUAAAUAAAACACCUUUUAUUUAUCACCAUAUGAUUACACAUUAUUCAUUGUAUAUUGUUUCAGCUAUCAACUUUAUUCUUGAAUUUAAAACAAUAGUUGUCCCAUGCUCCAAGCAUGUACACUAUGUUUUCUUAACACUAGUCAUGCCAUACACCAAGUAUGCAUACUAUGUUUGUCUAUGAUCUUUACUUUGUGAACUAGAUCAAUUGAACAUAACUUCAAUGAUUCUCUUUUCACACUCCCAAAUCCUUACUGCAAAUGCAAGAAUUCCAAAUUCAUGCCAUUUACUGAAAUCUGUUAGAUUCUAAACUUAUAUGGAUUGAUCCUCUUGUAAUGAUUAUCCACAAAGUCGCAAAGACUUGACAACAACCAUUACAGAGCAUUCCAAAAGAGAUCAGCUCCUUGGAAACAUCCUUCUUCCAUUAAGUUUCCAAAUAUUACACAGAUUGAAUAAUU
Molecule: long non-coding RNA, 5816 nt
Filed under: Lactuca sativa (garden lettuce)
Lineage: Eukaryota; Viridiplantae; Streptophyta; Magnoliopsida; Asterales; Asteraceae
Description: long non-coding RNA (LSAT_LNC009619)
Source: RNAcentral